GAUGAACGCUGGCGGCGUGCCUAAUACAUGCAAGUCGAGCGAACAGAUGAGGAGCUUGCUCCUCUGACGUUAGCGGCGGACGGGUGAGUAACACGUGGAUAACCUACCUAUAUGUCUGGGAUAACUUCGGGAAACCGGAGCUAAUACCGGAUAAUAUAUUGAACCGCAUGGUUCAAUAGUGAAUGACGGCUUUGCUGUCUCUUAUAGAUGGAUCCGCGCCGCAUUAGCUAGUUGGUAAGGUAACGGCUUACCAAGGCAACGAUGCGUAGCCGACCUGAGAGGGUGAUCGGCCACACUGGAACUGAGACACGGUCCAGACUCCUACGGGAGGCAGCAGUAGGGAAUGUUCGGCAAUGGGCGAAAGCCUGACGGAGCAACGCCGCGUGAGUGAUGAAGGUCUUCGGAUCGUAAAACUCUGUUAUUGGGGAAGAACAAAUGUGUAAGUAACUAUGCACGUCUUGACGGUACCUAAUCAGAAAGCAACGGCUAACUACGUG
RNAcentral lists this ribosomal RNA (497 nucleotides) under uncultured bacterium. Its description in RNAcentral is "partial 16S ribosomal RNA". It matches the Rfam family "Bacterial small subunit ribosomal RNA", at positions 28 to 507 of the family's 1533-position model. The record is from RNAcentral.